AUGUCUCCUGGGAGCCGGGGCCUGGAGUUCUAUUCUACUGUGACUGAGCUUGUACCCAGGCCACAAGAUGAUAUCCCACUCUUCCCUCCCCUUUCUACAAGUAGAGGAGUCUCUUCUCAUAGCCACCAUUGUCCCAGGCAAGCACUGAUUUCCACUGCAAAGUCCCACAAUCACUAUGCUGUUCCUGCCUCAAGUGCACAGAUUAUCUCUCCAUGCCUCAUGGCUGGAGCUGGAGAAUGGGAGAUGAAUGGCAUAGCCAACACAAGACUGUCUUUUCAACUGUCUUCAGUGUCUCUUUCAGUGAUAUGAAGUUAAAAUCAGAUCUGAAUUUCUGACCUAUAUAAUUUUCUUCUGUCAGAAGAGCUUCUUUUAAAAUUUCUUGCAAGGUAAGUCUACUGGUAACAAAUUCUCUCAAUUUUUGUUUGGGAAUGUCUUUGAGUCUGUAUUUGUCUUUCUUUCUUUUUUCUUUUUUUGGACUUAAAAUCCAAGUAUAAAUGUUCUUCAGUCAUUUAGUAAAUUUCAAAGCCAAGUCACUAAAGACAGAGGCUAGCAAUUUUCUUUCAUCAUUCACCAAUAACAGACUAUGUGUGGGGACAGUGGCCUUCAUCAGCAGGUACCCUUUUUUGGUGAAUGAAUCUGAUCAUUCAGAUGUGGAGAGAAUGAAGUGUCUUCUUUGGUUUCAGACCCGGAAUGCUCUUGAUCUCCCUUUUGGGGUUCUGUGUCUCCCAUCAGUUCUUGCAGAAACUUGAAUUUAGAUUUUAAAAAGAUGCCAUACAAAAUACAGUGGAUGCCCCCCUCAUCACACACCAUCAGCAGCAGGACAAUCAACAGUGUGGCCAUGAACAUAGCAGGUUAGCCCAAUAUUGUGCUAUCUUGAGGGGAGGAGGGUAGUUGACUUAGGGCACCUGGCAUGUACUGUGGAGGGAAUGGGUGAGUAGGCAGAUGGUAUGUCCCAGGCUUCAGUGGUGGGUGCCUGGCAUGGCAGGGACCUCUUGUCCUUCACUUUAAAAAAAAAAGAUUAAAAAAUAUAUACAUAGAUGUACAUAUUUUGGGGAUAUAUGUGAUAAUUUAAUACAUUCAUACAAUUUGUAAUGAUCAAAUAAGUCUAAUUAAGACAUUUGUAAUCCUAAAUAUUUAUAUUUUCUUAUGCUAGAAACAUUUAUUCUCUUCUAGCAAUUUUUUAAAAACAUUAAACAUGUUUUUAUAGAUGGUGUCUCACUCUGUCACCCAGGUUAGAGUGCAAUGGUGUAACACAUCUCACUGCAGUCUCAAACUCCCAGGUUCAAGUGAUCCUCCCAUCUAGCCUCCUGAGUAGCUGAGACUACAGGUGCAUACCACCAUGCCGGGCUACUUUUUACAAUUUUUUUUUUUUGUAGACACAGAGUUUCACUAUGUUUCCCAGGCUGGUCUCAAACUCCCAGGCUCAAGCAAUCCUUCUGCCUUGGCCUCCCAAAAUGUUGGGAUUACAGACGUGAGCCACCACACCUGGCCUUUUCUAGCUAUUUUGAAAUAUACAAUAGAUUAUUGUAAACUAUAGUCACCAUAAUUAUCUAUUAAACAUUGGGUCUUAUUUCACCUAUCAAAGUGUGUAUUUGUACCUAUUGAUCAACCUCUCUCUGUGCCCCCUCUCUCCUUCCCAGGCUCUGGUAACUACCAAUCUAUUCUCUAUCUUCAUGAAAUACACUUUUUAAGCUCCCACAUAUGAGUGAGGGCAUGCGAUGUUUGUCUGGUUCUGAUGCUUAUUCUAUUUCCUCAAACUGUGUUUUUGCCUUUUAGUAUGGCUUGUCAUGUUUGUUUGUUUGUUUGUUUGUUUUUUGAAACCCAGAUCUCAUGUCUUGCAUGUUGGGUUCAGGCAACUUGUCUUUUUAGUUUGUACGUCUCUGGAUCAAGUAAAUCAUAACCAAAUCUGAUGUGGAGACAAAUUAUCCUUCAUGGACUUUGAGUUGGAUAUGGUUGUUUUUCUCCACUUAGUAGAUGGUGUGUAUAUUUUGUCAGAAUAUUUGGUGAUCCAGAAGGGUGGACUGUGGUGUUAGUAGGUCUGUCCACAGAUUAUUUUUAUCUCUCUGUCAACCAGACACUUGGUAAGUUGUACCUCCUUCAUCACUUGUGAUUGGUGGGGCCACAUUACCAGUUUCAUUUUAUUUUUUACUUUUUUUUUUUUUUUUGACAGAGUCUCACUUUGUCGCCCAGGCUGGAGUACAGUGACAGGAUCUCAGUUCACUGCAACAUCUGCCUCCCAGGUUCAAGCAAUUCUUGUGCCUCAGCCUCCCAAGUAGCUAGGAUUACAGAUGUACACCAGCACACCCGGCUAAUUUUUGUAUUUUUAAUAGAGAUCAGGUUUCACCAUGUUGGCCGGGCUUGCCUCGAACUCCUUACCUUAGGUGAUCUGCCUGCCUCAGCCUCCCAAAGUGCUGAAAUUACAGCAGUGAGCCACUGUGCCUGGCCACAUGACCAGUUUUAGACAAUGAGUUUUGAGAACUUACAAUAUGUAUAACUUUAGGGCUGAACUUUUGCUUGAUGAGAUGAGACCUUCUAGAAUUCUUUUUUUCUGUCUCCCAUAAUAACUAGCUAUGUUUUUUCAGCUGAUUGCUAAAUGAAUGCAUGUGGAGCAAUGUCCCAGCUGACCUGAAAUGAACAUGUGGUUUCAGUGAGAAAUACACCUCUGUCGUUUAAGCCAUCAUUGUCUGUGAGUUACUUGUUAUCUUAGCAUAAUACAGCCUAACCUGACUGUUAACACAGCUUAACCUUACAUCUUCUUUAGGUCUUGACUUACCUGUAGUGUUUUCCUCAAGGCCUUAAGAUUGCACCCAUACCCACCCCAUCACUCUAUCCCCUUCUCUACUUUAUAUUCCUCUACAACACCUAUCUUAAUAUAACAUCACGUAGUUUGCUCAUUUAUUUUAUUAUUCAUCUCCUCCUGCCACCAGAAUGUAAGCCCAUGAAGGCAGCGAUGGUCUGAGUUUGAGUUCCACUGAAAGCUGAUCCUUGAGACAGGGGAUAUGGGGUUGGCUCUUCAUUUGGGAGAUGAUCCUGAAGGGUAUAGAAAGGGAACUGGGGGAAAAAACCAUAGAAAGUAAAAUCAAUAAAGGAGGCAUUAGUAAACUUAUUAGUGCUGUGGACAAUUCUUUGGAGAUCCUCUGAGAAGCCCUGUUGAGCUGAAAUUCUCAUACAUUUCCUACCUAGAGAUAGAAAAACUGGAGUAUUGUCCCCAACUCCUGCCCACUGUUGAAUGUAGGGAGGCUUAAAUCUCUGGUACAUUCAGACUGACUUGUGCAUGGGCUGAGCAAGCUUGCCCCAUGCAGAGAAAGCCUUCUGGCCAAGAAGCAGAGAGGUAGACACAGUUCCUGUGCAUAGGAACUGUCCAACACAGUUGCAGGUGUGUCAAGGGGACAUGCAGUGGGGGCAUCAACAGAAUCUACCAUAGAGAUUUUCGCUUUUUAUUUCCUGAUGUGGCCCCAGCUCCUAAAUACUGUUUGACAAUUUCUAAAUAGUGAACGAAUGAGUGAAUGAGUACCCUAUAGUGGGCGUUCACUGGAUGUGUCCCCAGCAUCCAUUUCCCUUUUGGAAUUAGCCCUUUCCCUUUUUUCCCUUGGGAUGCCACCUCUCCCCAUUUCUCAGCCUGCAGCUUUGGUUGGGAUUGAACCGACAUCUAGUUACUGGGUGUGGACUACCUCCCCAUCCCCUACUCCAAAGACUUGAUAUAAUCAACCUUUCUUACUCACCUCCCCCUCGCCACCACAGUGAUCUGUUUAGGAAUGGACACAUGACCCAUUUGCGACCAAUGAAAGUGAAUUUCAGGGUUUAUUCUCUCUUUCUCUGUAAGGAUGUGAGGUCUAGAAAAGCUGCAGCCAUUUUGCCACCAUGGGAAACCUGGGACAUCUGAACUGACUCCAUGAAGCCCAAAGAGAAAGCUAAUAAGAAGGCAGAGAGAAGAGGAAAAGAGUCUUGGUCUUUGAAAAUAUCUUUUGGAGCUGCUGGAUCAAGUCUCACUUGAAG
RNAcentral lists this long non-coding RNA (3996 nucleotides) under Papio anubis (olive baboon). RNAcentral describes it as "lncRNA (ENSPANG00000045367.1)". The record is from RNAcentral. Lineage: Eukaryota; Metazoa; Chordata; Mammalia; Primates; Cercopithecidae.